GCCAGCGUGGCUCAGUUGGUAGAGCAACGCACUCGUAAUGCGUAGGUCACCGGUUCGAGUCCGGUCGCUGGCUCCA
Molecule: transfer RNA, 76 nt
Filed under: Eggerthellaceae bacterium
Lineage: Bacteria; Bacillati; Actinomycetota; Coriobacteriia; Eggerthellales; Eggerthellaceae
Also listed under: 1 other name
Description: tRNA-Thr
Rfam family: tRNA
About the family: Transfer RNA (tRNA) molecules are approximately 80 nucleotides in length.
Source: RNAcentral